RNAcentral lists this long non-coding RNA (1851 nucleotides) under Marmota monax (woodchuck). Lineage: Eukaryota; Metazoa; Chordata; Mammalia; Rodentia; Sciuridae. The record is from RNAcentral.
UGCACAAGUUGCUCAAGAAACUAAAAGCAGAACUACCAUAUGAUCCAGAAACCCCAGGACCAGGUAGAGCAACACUAUUCCCCUAUAGCCAAGAGGUGGCAGCCACUCUGAUAUAUGUCGACCGGCAAAUGGAUAAAAUGAUGCAUACAAACCAUGAAAUGUUAUUCAGUUUUAAUAAGAAGGAAAUCCUGACACUUGCUACAGCGUGAAUGAAACCGAUGGCAUUAUGCUAAAUUGAAAUAAGCCAUUUACAAAAGGACAAAUGCUGUGUGCUUCCAUUUAUAUGCAGUAUCUAAAGUAAUUAAAUUCAUGGAAACAUGAAGUGGAUUGGUGAUCGUCGAAGAGUGGCUGGAGGGAGAAGUGUGGGGAGUUUUUAAAUGAGUAUAGAAUUUCAGUUUUACAAGAUGAAAAAGUUCUGGGGAUCUGCAGUACAACACUGAACUAUACACUUAAAACUGGGUAAGGUGGUAAAUUUUGUGCAAUGUGCUUUUUUACCACAGUUAAAGGGUUUUUUUAAUCAAACUGUAGUCACGGGCGAUAUAAGAACAGGACAUUUUAUCCAAAGAUGGACCAUAUUUACCUAUAGUUCCAUAAGAUUAUUAUAGUAGAGCUGAAAAAUUCCAAUCACCUAGUGACACGAUGGUAGCUGGUGUGAUGUUGUAGAGCAAAGCAUUAUGUGCAUGUUUGUGGUGAUACUGGUAUAAACAAGCCUACAUCGCUCCAGUCAGAUAGAAGUGUAGCACAUGCUACUGUGUGCUAUAUAUAGCCCUUGAUGAUAAUAAAUGGCUGUUACUGUUUUACAUACUUACCUACCAUACUAUAUUUUUUAUUUUUUAUUCUUUUUAGAUAUACAUGAUAGUAGAGCAUAUUUUGACAUAUUAUACAUACAUGGGAUAUAACUUCUUUUAAUUAGGAUCCCAUUCUGUGGUUGUACAUGAUGUGUAGUUUCACUGGUUGUGUAUUCAUAUAUGAACAUGGAAAAGUUACAUCCAAUUCAUUCUACUGUCUUUCCCAUUCCUAUCCCCCCUUCCCUUCAUUCCCUUUGUCUAAUCCAAUGAACUUCUAUUCUUCUCUCCCCCCUCCUUAUUAUGUGUUAGCAUCCACAGAUUAGAGAGAACAUUCAGCCUUUGGUUUGGGGGGACUUGCUUAUGUCACCCAGCAGGAUAGCUCCAGUUCCAUCCAUUUAUCAGAAAAUAAUUUUAUUCUUCUUUUACCAUACUAUACUUUUAAUUGUUAUUCUACAAUGUAUUUCUCCUGCUUAUAAAAGAAGUUUGCUAUAAAACAUGGUUGUGUGGAGCCCACAGUAUCCUCAUACAUCUCAGGUUUCCAUGUCCCCUGACGGCAUGGAGAGACUGAUCUACACCAUCUAGGUUCAUGUAAGUACAUUCUAUGAUGUUCACACAAUGACAAAGUCACCCAGUGCCACAUUUCUCAGAGCAUGUCCCUGCUGUGAAUGGCACCUGACUAUACAUGAAUCUUUAAUAGGGAGAACUUGAUCAACACAGAGAAGUCAAGGCAGGAACAUAACAGAGUACUUCUCCAACUUUUUCCUGACGUUCCCUUUAGGAUAGAGAAAACUGAAUCCAUCUAGACUAGAGGCUAUAGCUUAGAGCAGAAAUUUCUCUGAUGCCUUGUGUUUUGCCUCUAAAUACAUGCAAUUUUUGCUUACCACUUCAUACUAGAUCAAGUGUUUUUUCAUAUAGAAAUAAAAUCUUAAUUACGAUUAAAAGGAAAGUUCGUAUUUCUUUGAGUGUGAUUCUAUCCUGGGAUCACAGGAAUUCCUGACUUUUAUACAAGUGAGUGCAAAAAAAAAUGGCAACACAGAAAAAGACUUACACUAACACAUACAUG